GUUCUUGUAGUUAAGGUUUGUUUAACGGCAGCUUUUCGAGCUGUAGACCUUGGAGAAAAGCCAAGCAAGAAUG
Molecule: transfer RNA, 73 nt
Filed under: Penelopides panini (Visayan tarictic hornbill)
Lineage: Eukaryota; Metazoa; Chordata; Aves; Bucerotiformes; Bucerotidae
Also listed under: 2 other names
Description: tRNA-Glu
Source: RNAcentral